GUGUUUGGGGUUCCGGUGCAAAGUUCUCACUGUCCGCUCCAUCCUCGAUCGCGAGCAACCUUGACAGAGGCUAAGCAGAUGAUGCUACCACCCUUCUUCCCCGGAGGAAACACAGAAGGAAACUAAAGAUUCCUGUGUCUAAGGGACUGCCUCCUGGUCCCCUCCUGUCUCCUGCUGGGAAGACUGUUCAGUUCUGAGUCUUCCAGGCUGACCUUGGAAUCCCAACCUCCUGCCUCAACCUUCUGAGUACUGAUCCACCACAUCUGGAUAGACUAGACAUCUGCUGCAACAGAAUAGUUAAAAAAAAUGGUAUACAA
Mus musculus (house mouse) is the source of this 317-nucleotide long non-coding RNA. RefSeq annotates it as predicted gene, 40687. NCBI's taxonomy places the organism in Eukaryota, Metazoa, Chordata, Mammalia, Rodentia, Muridae. The transcript is spliced from 3 exons. The record is from RefSeq and is a predicted model, not a curated record.